RNAcentral lists this ribosomal RNA (352 nucleotides) under uncultured bacterium. Its description in RNAcentral is "bacterial SSU rRNA". It matches the Rfam family "Bacterial small subunit ribosomal RNA", at positions 9 to 353 of the family's 1533-position model. The record is from RNAcentral.
GAGUUUGAUCAUGGCUCGAGGACGAACGCUGGCGGCGCGCCUAACACAUGCAAGUCGAACGAGAGAGAAGGAGCUUGCUUUUGAUGGGCGUCGACCGGCGCACGGGUGAGUAACGCGUAUCCAACCUGCCCACCACUUGGGGAUAACCUUGCGAAAGUAAGACUAAUACCCAAUGAUAUCUCUAGAAGACAUCUGAAAGAGAUUAAAGAUUUAUCGGUGAUGGAUGGGGAUGCGUCUGAUUAGCUUGUUGGCGGGGUAACGGCCCACCAAGGCGACGAUCAGUAGGGGUUCUGAGAGGAAGGUCCCCCACAUUGGAACUGAGACACGGUCCAAACUCCUACGGGAGGCAGCA